UAGAGUUUGAUCAUGGCUCAGGACUAACGCUGGCGGCGUGCCUAACACAUGCAAGUCGAGCGGGCAGCAGCAAUGUUGUCAGCGGCGGACGGGUGAGUAACGCGUGAGUAAUCUGCCCUGCACAACGGGAUACCGUCCAGAAAUGGACGUUAAUACCGUAUAAGACCACUUUACGGCAUCGUAAGGGGUAAAAGGGUUACCGGUGCAGGAUGAGCUCGCGUUUCAUUAGCUAGUUGGCGGUGUAAAAGACCACCAAGGCGACGAUGGAUAGCCGGCCUGAGAGGGCGAACGGCCACACUGGAACUGAGAAACGGUCCAGACUCCUACGGGAGGCAGCAGUGGGGAAUAUUGGUCAAUGGGCGAAAGCCUGAACCAGCAACGCCGCGUGAAUGAAGAAGGUUUUCGGAUUGUAAAGUUCUGUCGCAGGGGACGAAGAAUGACGGUACCCUGUAAGAAAGCCACGGCAAACUACGUGCCAGCAGCCGCGGUAAUACGUAGGUGGCAAGCGUUGUCCGGAAAUGACUGGG
RNAcentral lists this ribosomal RNA (527 nucleotides) under uncultured Clostridia bacterium. RNAcentral describes it as "bacterial SSU rRNA". It matches the Rfam family "Bacterial small subunit ribosomal RNA", at positions 1 to 558 of the family's 1533-position model. Lineage: Bacteria; Bacillati; Bacillota; Clostridia. The record is from RNAcentral.